UCCUACUUUCGCAGGCAGUCUCGCCAGAGUGCCCCCGAAGGGUAGCAACUGACAACAGGAGUUGCGCUCGUUAAAGGACUUAACCUAACAUCUCACGACACGAGCUGACGACAGCCAUGCAGCACCUGUGCAUACGCUUGAGCAAGCCCAAGAGACCAUGUUUCCAUGGCGGGCAUAUGCAUGUCAAGCCCAGGUAAGGUUUCUCGCGUAGUAUCGAAUUAAACCACAUGUUCCACCGCUUGUGCGGACCCCCGUCAAUUUCUUUAAGUUUUAAUCUUGCGACCGUACUCCUCAGGUGGACCACUUAUCGCGUUAGCUGCGACACUUAGCCUGAUCGGCCAAACGUCUAGUGAUCAUCGUUUACAGCGUGGACUAC
Molecule: unclassified non-coding RNA, 376 nt
Filed under: uncultured bacterium
Lineage: Bacteria
Description: contains 16S-23S intergenic spacer region
Source: RNAcentral